Molecule: non-coding RNA, 150 nt
Filed under: Paenibacillus sp.
Lineage: Bacteria; Bacillati; Bacillota; Bacilli; Caryophanales; Paenibacillaceae
Also listed under: 1 other name
Description: FMN sequence
Rfam family: FMN riboswitch aptamer (RFN element)
About the family: The RFN element is a highly conserved domain that is found frequently in the 5'-untranslated regions of prokaryotic mRNAs that encode for flavin mononucleotide (FMN) biosynthesis and transport proteins. This element is a metabolite-dependent riboswitch that directly binds FMN in the absence of proteins. In Bacillus subtilis, the riboswitch most likely controls gene expression by causing premature transcription termination within the 5' untranslated region of the ribDEAHT operon and precluding access to the ribosome-binding site of ypaA mRNA.
Source: RNAcentral
UAGGACCUUCGGGGCAGGGUGAAAAUCCCGACCGGCGGUGAAGGCUCGCUCAGAGCUUAAGCCCGCGACUCGUCGAUUUCGGUGCGAAAUGACGACUGACUUGGUGCAAUUCCAAGGCCGACGGUAUAGUCCGGAUGGGAGAAGGUCACA